RNAcentral lists this ribosomal RNA (563 nucleotides) under uncultured bacterium. RNAcentral's name for it is "bacterial SSU rRNA". It matches the Rfam family "Bacterial small subunit ribosomal RNA", at positions 338 to 916 of the family's 1533-position model. The record is from RNAcentral.
CCUACGGGAGGCAGCAGCAGGGAAUCUUGCGCAAUGGGCGAAAGCCUGACGCAGCGACACCGCGUGGGGGAAGAAGGCCUCAGGGUUGUAAACCCCUUUUCUGUGGGAAGAGAUAGGACGGUACCACAGGAAUAAGCAUCGGCUAACUACGUGCCAGCAGCCGCGGUAAUACGUAGGAUGCAAGCGUUGUCCGGAUUUACUGGGCGUAAAGGGUGUGUAGGCGGCAUGUUAAGUCUCAUGUGAAAUCUCCCGGCUCAACUGGGAGGGGUCAUGGGAAACUGGCAAGCUGGAGGGCAGCAGAGGAAAGCGGAAUUCCGGGAGUAGUGGUGGAAUGCGUAGAUACCCGGAGGAACACCAGAGGCGAAGGCGGCUUUCUGGGCUGUACCUGACGCUGAGACACGAAAGCGUGGGGAGCGAACCGGAUUAGAUACCCGGGUAGUCCACGCCCUAAACGAUGGAUACUAGAUAUAGGGGGUAUUGACCCCUCCUGUGUCGGAGUUAACGCGAUAAGUAUCCCGCCUGGGGAGUACGGCCGCAAGGCUAAAACUCAAAGGAAUUGACGG